RNAcentral lists this ribosomal RNA (479 nucleotides) under uncultured bacterium. RNAcentral's name for it is "SSU rRNA". It matches the Rfam family "Bacterial small subunit ribosomal RNA", at positions 26 to 523 of the family's 1533-position model. The record is from RNAcentral.
AGGAUGAACGCUGGCGGCGUGCUUAACACAUGCAAGUCGAGCGGAAAGGCCCUUCGGGGUACUCGAGCGGCGAACGGGUGAGUAACACGUGAGCAACCUGCCCUUAGCUUCGGGAUAGCUCCGGGAAACCGGAAUUAAUACCGGAUAUGACUAUGGCCGACAUCAGCCAUGGUGGAAAGUUUUUCGGCUAGGGAUGGACUCGCGGCCUAUCAGCUAGUUGGUGAGGUAACGGCUCACCAAGGCGACGACGGGUAGCCGGCCUGAGAGGGCGACCGGCCACACUGGGACUGAGACACGGCCCAGACUCCUACGGGAGGCAGCAGUGGGGAAUAUUGCGCAAUGGGCGAAAGCCUGACGCAGCGACGCCGCGUGGGGGAUGAAUGCCUUCGGGUUGUAAACCCCUUUCAGCAGGGACGAAGCGAAAGUGACGGUACCUGCAGAAGAAGCGCCGGCUAACUACGUGCCAGCAGCCGCGGUAA